RNAcentral lists this small RNA (166 nucleotides) under Sorex araneus (European shrew). RNAcentral describes it as "7SK RNA (ENSSARG00000019621.1)". It matches the Rfam family "7SK RNA", at positions 116 to 273 of the family's 331-position model. From Rfam's summary of the family: 7SK was discovered as an abundant small nuclear RNA in the mid-70s but a possible function has only recently been suggested. Two independent studies have found that 7SK RNA binds the CDK9/cyclin T complex (known as elongation factor P-TEFb). Lineage: Eukaryota; Metazoa; Chordata; Mammalia; Eulipotyphla; Soricidae. The record is from RNAcentral.
UCCCUCCUGAAGUUGGGUGCUGGGUUGAAGAGGAUGGUCUUCCCCAAAUAGAGAUGGACUGGACAGUUCUUUGGUGGAAGGUAUACAAGGAAGGUAUAUAAGUAGCUGCGCUCCUCUGCUAGAACAUCUAAACAAGCUCUCAUAAAAAAAAGAAGAAAAUUAUAGU